This 650-nucleotide ribosomal RNA is filed under the name Bothynoderes sp. ARC3928. Its description in RNAcentral is "SSU rRNA". It matches the Rfam family "Eukaryotic small subunit ribosomal RNA", at positions 1 to 620 of the family's 1831-position model. The record is from RNAcentral. Lineage: Eukaryota; Metazoa; Arthropoda; Insecta; Coleoptera; Curculionidae.
UAUGACAAACUGGUUGAUCCUGCCAGUAGUCAUAUGCUUGUCUCAAAGAUUAAGCCAUGCAUGUCUCAGUACAAGCCAAAUUAAGGUGAAACCGCGAAAGGCUCAUUAAAUCAGUUAUGGUUCCUUAGAUCGUACCCACAAUUACUUGGAUAACUGUGGUAAUUCUAGAGCUAAUACAUGCAAACAGAGCUCCGACCGGAGACGGAAGGAGUGCUUUUAUUAGAUCAAAACCAAUCGGUGGCGGGUUCACGCUCGUCAUCGUACAACUUGGUGACUCUGAAUAACUUUUCGCUGAUCGCACGGUCAUCGCACCGGCGACGCAUCUUUCAAAUGUCUGCCUUAUCAACUGUCGAUGGUAGGUUCUGCGCCUACCAUGGUUGUAACGGGUAACGGGGAAUCAGGGUUCGAUUCCGGAGAGGGAGCCUGAGAAACGGCUACCACAUCCAAGGAAGGCAGCAGGCGCGCAAAUUACCCACUCCCGGCACGGGGAGGUAGUGACAAAAAAUAACGAUACGGGACUCAUCCGAGGCCCCGUAAUCGGAAUGAGUACACUCUAAACCCUUUAACGAGGAUCAAUUGGAGGGCAAGUCUGGUGCCAGCAGCCGCGGUAAUUCCAGCUCCAAUAGCGUAUAUUAAAGUUGUUGCCGGUU